CCCCCUUUACACUACUACCCCCCCCCAUUUAAAAGCGAAAGGAGGGUCGCCCCCGCACACCUUAGGGAGCCAGCUGCCUCCGCCCCCGGGAAGAGAAAUACCGUGCGAUUAACGGUAAUGGUGAACUCCUCCCGGCUUAGGGAGCCUUUCAAAGCGAUGGUAAUGAAGGAAGCAUUUCAUAGCGCAUAGGUUUCCAGGAAAAGUACAGCACCCGCUAUGGGUGUAGCCAAGGGAGGGGCAGCUGCCCCCACAAUCUAUAAAAAUCAACAUUUGUUGUUUAGUCGUGUCCGACUCUUUGUGACCCCAUGGACCAGAGCAAGCCAGGCACUCCUGUCUUCCACUGCCUCCCACAGCUUGGUCCAACUCAUGCUGGUAGCCUCGAGAACACUGUCCAACCAUCUUGUCCUGUCGUCCCCUUCUCCUUGUGCCCUCCAUCUUUCCCAACAUCAGGGUCUUUUCCAGGGACUCUUCUCUUCUCACGAGGUGGCCAAAGUAUUGGAGCCUCAGCUUCAGGAUCUGUCCUUCCAGUGAGCACUCAGGGCUGAUUUCCUUUAGGAUAGGUCUGAUCUUCUUGCAGUCCAUGGGACUCUCAAGAGUCUCCUCCAGCACCAUAAUUCAAAAGCGUCAAUUCUUUGGCGAUCAGCCGUCUAGCAAACUCAGGUUCUGCCCACUAACAAAAGGCCUACUCACCACGGUACCCGCUUUGGAAAGUCCAAUCCUAUUGUCAGGGCAAGAACCCCUGACUGCACUGCACUUAACAGCAGUAAUAUAAAAGUCUCGCGUCCCUGACCUGAUGAGAACCCGAUUCUAUUAAUUUUGUGCAUCGUGCUGCUCUUCAGCGAAGUUGCUUCUAAAUUUCAACUGCAGAGUGAUCUUUCUGCGGCAGUAGUGUUGCCCCAGGGCAACAGGCUCAUUUCCCCAUUCCCAAGCACCCCACUCUCUUCCCUUUUCGCUUGCCAAAACAUGUAGCAAUAAUGACAAUUUAUUUUGUCUUGAAUGUAGUUCAGAACAUGAAACAACAGGUUAUGUGGAUGGCAUCAGUGGUACAAAAGCAGCAGCAGAAAGGACAACACAGGAUAGGAGAGGGGAAGGGCACACCCCUCUGGAUGAUGACAGCAACCAUCACGAUACUGGAAUGUAACAGGCCAACUUGCAGCACUGAAAAGAGUCAUUGCAGAGGUCACUACCACAAGUGUGUAUGAGCUGCAGAAAGGAAAGAGAGUGCACACAUUUGUGUUUUUAACUGCCCUGGGGUCAUCUGAUGGAGGGUGAGCCAAAGCAGGUAUUUAAAAAUAAAUAAGACACAUGGCAUAAGACCAUAGCAUUCUGCUCUCACACAACUCACAGGAAACUUGAGGCUGAUCCACACCCUAUAUUUAAAGCACAUCUAACACACUUUAAAAACACAUGACUUCCCCAAAGAAUCCUGAUAACUGUAGGUUUUUUUUAAAGGUGCUGGGAAUUAUAGCUAUGGUCUCAGGGUUUUUUUGGAGGAAUGAUGUGUAUCGGAUGUGCUUUAAAUGUUUGAUGAGAACCUAUCUAAAGACUACCCAUUGGAAACAAGGUGGCAGCACAAAAUUAUUAUUAUUAAUAAUAAUUAAAUUUGUAUACUUCCCUUAAUCUGUAGAUCUCAGAGCUGUUCACAACAUUUGCAAGAUAAAAAAGACAAAAUAAUAAUAAAAAAAACAAUAAUAACUCCCCCCCCCCAUUUUAUUAUUUUUAUUUACUCAUCCAAAACCUAUUUUGGUAUAAUCCAGGAAUCAAUUCAGUUUGAGUAAGGCUGCAGAACAUGACUGGAGUGCCAGGACUAUUAGUAUUAUGUAUUAGAAAAAUGAUGAUUGGAAUAGACAUUGAAAGUGCACAGAACCAAGCAAAGAAUACCCAUACAAUAAACAAAGCAACAAACAAAGCCAAAAAGCAGAGUAACAGUACAGCAAUUAUCAGAUUUCCCAGAAGACUUUCAUGCCUCUGGAUAAAGACACCAGUGGGACUCCCAACAGCAGCUACAAACAACACCAUUUAAGUGCAGAAUCCAUUUUUGGAAAAGGAGAGCCAGGUCAGGUGUAUAAAAUCAGCAGUUCUAAUACUGGUGAUUUAGCACCCACAUACACCCCUGUAUACUAUACACCACACUAUACCUACCUUGGGAAUUUCAAAUGAUCAUGGACACUAUGUGUGUGUACAUGUGUACAUUAGUUGAAGUGUCAGCUAAAGGCUUUCAACAGACUAAGGGAUUGCAUCAUCAAAGCAGUAACCGCACACAGAAAAUGAAAGCAAAAACUCAGUGCUAGCUCCAGUAUGCAACAGGUCCCAGAUAAAUUCCCCAGGCAUAAGUCUUUAUUUCUUCAAAAGUUUGUAGCCUGGAUUUUAUUGGUCCUAUCAGUACAGCAUAAAUUAUAACAGAGAAAUCCACCACAUCCCUGGAUCUUAAAGCACCAGCAGACUACUACAGGGAGAGGUACCACUUCGUGUUUUUAGUUGCAAUAUAGCUAUAGCUUUAAAGGUAAUAUCAGCACCUUAGGCUUGUAAUUGAAUAUGCAGCCAAUGCAGUUGUUUUAAGGAUCAGUGAAA
RNAcentral lists this long non-coding RNA (2571 nucleotides) under Podarcis lilfordi (Lilford's wall lizard). The record is from RNAcentral. Lineage: Eukaryota; Metazoa; Chordata; Lepidosauria; Squamata; Lacertidae.